CACGUAGGGCGCAAGUGUUGUCCGGAAUUAUUGGGCGUAAAGAGCUCGUAGGCGGUCUGUUGCGUCCGCUGUGAAAACUCGGGGCUUAACCCCGAGCCUGCAGUGGAUACGGGCAGACUAGAGGUAGGUAGGGGAGAAUGGAAUUCCCGGUGUAGCGGUGAAAUGCGCAGAUAUCGGGAGGAACACCGGUGGCGAAGGCGGGUCUCUGGACAGUUCCUGACACUGAGGCACGAAGGCCAGGGGAGCAAACGGG
This 253-nucleotide ribosomal RNA is filed under the name uncultured bacterium. Its description in RNAcentral is "partial 16S ribosomal RNA". It matches the Rfam family "Bacterial small subunit ribosomal RNA", at positions 524 to 776 of the family's 1533-position model. The record is from RNAcentral.